This 420-nucleotide ribosomal RNA is filed under the name uncultured bacterium. Its description in RNAcentral is "partial 16S ribosomal RNA". It matches the Rfam family "Bacterial small subunit ribosomal RNA", at positions 355 to 766 of the family's 1533-position model. The record is from RNAcentral.
UGGGGAAUAUUGCACAAUGGGCGCAAGCCUGAUGCAGCCAUGCCGCGUGUGUGAAGAAGGCCUUCGGGUUGUAAAGCACUUUCAGCGAGGAGGAAGGUGGUGAGCUUAAUACGCUCAUCAAUUGACGUUACUCGCAGAAGAAGCACCGGCUAACUCCGUGCCAGCAGCCGCGGUAAUACGGAGGGUGCAAGCGUUAAUCGGAAUUACUGGGCGUAAAGCGCACGCAGGCGGUUUGUUAAGUCAGAUGUGAAAUCCCCGGGCUCAACCUGGGAACUGCAUUUGAAACUGGCAAGCUAGAGUCUCGUAGAGGGGGGUAGAAUUCCAGGUGUAGCGGUGAAAUGCGUAGAGAUCUGGAGGAAUACCGGUGGCGAAGGCGGCCCCCUGGACGAAGACUGACGCUCAGGUGCGAAAAGCGUGGGG